AGAGUUUGAUCCUGGCUCAGAAUAAACGCUGGCGGCAUGCUUAACACAUGCAAGUCGUACGAGAAAGUCUCCUUCGGGGGGCGAGUAAAGUGGCGGACGGGUGAGUAACACGUAAGAACCUGCCCUUUGGUUUGGGAUAACGUCGCGAAAGCGGCGCUAAUACCAAAUGAUGUCUAUGGUCCAAAGAGGGCGAAAGCUCUCGCCAGAGGAGGGGCUUGCGUCCCAUUAGCUUGUUGGUGAGGUAAUAGCUUACCAAGGCGACGAUGGGUAGCCGGCCUGAGAGGGUGUACGGCCACACUGGAACUGAGAUACGGUCCAGACUCCUACGGGAGGCAGCAGUGGGGAAUAUUGGUCAAUGGGCGAAAGCCUGAACCAGCAAUGCCGUGUGGGGUGAUGAAGCUUUUUGGAGUGUAAACCCCUUUUAUGAGGAAAGAAGAUAAUUCGGUUAAUACCUGAGUUAUUUGACGGUACCUCAUGAAUAAGCCCCGGCUAACUCCGUGCCAGCAGCCGCGGUAAUACGGAGGGGGCAAGCGUUAUUCGGAAUUACUGGGCGUAAAGGGCGUGUAGGCGGCCUAGCAGGUCAGAUGUGAAAUCCCCGGGCUUAACCCGGGAAUUGCGUUUGAAACCGUUGGGCUUGAGUCUGGGAGAGGAAAGCGGAAUUCCUGGUGUAGCGGUGAAAUGCGUAGAUAUCAGGAGGAACACCGGUGGCGAAAGCGGCUUUCUGGACCAGUACUGACGCUGAGACGCGAAAGCGUGGGUAGCAAACGGGAUUAGAUACCCCGGUAGUCCACGCCGUAAACGAUGAGCACUAGAUGUAGCGGAAGUUUUCUGCUGUGCCGCAGCUAACGCAAUAAGUGCUCCGCCUGGGGACUACGCACGCAAGUGUAAAACUCAAAUGAAUUGACGG
This 907-nucleotide ribosomal RNA is filed under the name uncultured bacterium. Its description in RNAcentral is "bacterial SSU rRNA". It matches the Rfam family "Bacterial small subunit ribosomal RNA", at positions 8 to 916 of the family's 1533-position model. The record is from RNAcentral.